Molecule: RNA transcript, 1196 nt
Organism: Wasmannia auropunctata (little fire ant)
Lineage: Eukaryota; Metazoa; Arthropoda; Insecta; Hymenoptera; Formicidae
Exons: 2
Source: RefSeq, a predicted model, not a curated record
AAAAGAUCGUGACGUAUAGUAAAUAGGGCGCAUCGUAUCUCGGCCUCGGUAGAUCUCGCACGUGGCAUUCUCGCAAUAAAAGAGCCGAGCAUAAUAUUCCCGUGAUAAACGUAUAGAUGUCAAACGUGUCGAUACUUCGAUACUCUCGCUUUGGAUUACCGCGGAUUCACGUUUCACGUACGCGUCUCGUUUGUUCACAAUGUAACAAAGGAUUCCGAACGCCGAUGGCAACGUAAAAUUAUCGGUUUUAAAUAUAAAAUCGCCCUGUGUAUUUUUUUUUUUUUUUUCAACAUGACGACCGUCCUCGGAACGCAGACCGACAGCGACAGAAGAUUGCUGCGUUUUCAAAAUUACGAGGAGUAUUUGGACUCGCUGGUGACGUCUGCGGACAUCUGCUAUCUCAGGAGCUGCAAGACCGCGCGUCAAUUGGCCGAGCUCGGUUACCGCUGCACCGGCGAGACUCUGAGCGAGGAGGGCUUUUACCGUCGCUUACGGGUCGUGAGAGAUCUACUGUUCCCCGUUCGCCGGCCUUACGAGCUCACGUCGGAGCUCGUGUCGCCCGCCGGUAGGUUAAUGGUGGAGCUCGCCCUGCGCGAGCGAGCCAACAGAUUGAUGACACUGUCGACCAUCGUGUUCGUCCGGCGCUUCAUAACGAGGCUGCAGUUCGAGGAGUCGGCCUACAUCGAUUUCGCCGAUCGGCUCAAAUCGGAAGAUUGGCUGCCGUAUUACCGAGGGGAGAAAAGAUUGUCGCCGCUCAAGCGGGAUCUCGCGUACUAUCACUGGCGCGCGGGGAGGACGUGGUUGAACGAGACCCGUAAUUACGUGCCGAUCAUAGACCCCAAGUGUGGGCUGCUGUUGAAGAAUAUUCACGAUCGACAAGUGAUCACGGUCGAUCCGGCCGCCGCGUCACCCGGUGUGCAGACGACGCGAAUUCGGGUGCGUUGCCCGUUUUACGAGCACGUAAUAUUGUACGAUCACGUGGUCCGAAGCAAAAUUGUGCAGGAAAAUUGAGCACGUCAACAUUAUUACGCUAAUCGGAUUUUCAAGUCAUAAUAUUAAUUUCUAUGAUGGCAUCUUUUCUCUUCCAAGGAAAGAAGAUAGAAAGAAUGAAAUAGGAAAUCCAGGUUACUUACUUCUCUCGUGGGUCGAUGAGGAUUGACCAACUGUCUCACGUUGCCGCAUGUAACCAGCGAGGC